RNAcentral lists this ribosomal RNA (406 nucleotides) under uncultured bacterium. RNAcentral's name for it is "partial 16S ribosomal RNA". It matches the Rfam family "Bacterial small subunit ribosomal RNA", at positions 30 to 526 of the family's 1533-position model. The record is from RNAcentral.
AUUGAACGCUGGCGGCAGGCCUAACACAUGCAAGUCGAGCGAGCGGCGGACGGGUGAUUAAUGUCUGGGUAACUGCCUGAUGGAGGGGGAUAACUACUGGAACCGGUAGCUAAUACCCCAUACCAUCAGAUAUCCCCCGAUGGGAUUAGCUAGUAGGGGGGGUAACGGCCCACCUAGGCGACGAUCGCUAGCUGGUCUGAGAGGAUGAUCAGUCACACUGGAACUGAGACACGGUCCAGACUCCUACGGGAGGAAGCAGUGGGGAAUAUUGGACAAUGGGCGAAAGCCUGAUCCAGCCAUGCCGCGUGUGUGAAGAAGGUCUGCGGAUUGUAAAGCACUUUAAGUUGGGAGGCGUUACCAACAGAAUAAGCACCGGCUAACUUCGUGCCAGCAGCCGCGGUAAUUC